Molecule: ribosomal RNA, 373 nt
Filed under: uncultured organism
Description: bacterial SSU rRNA
Rfam family: Bacterial small subunit ribosomal RNA
Source: RNAcentral
CGGGGGGGCAAGCGUUGGUUCGGAAUUACUGGGCGUAAAGGGCUCGUAGGCGGCCAACUAAGUCAAACGUGAAAUCCCUCGGCUUAACCGGGGAACUGCGCUUGAUACUGGAUGGCUUGAGAUUGGGAGAGGGAUGCGGAAUUCCAGGUGUAGCGGUGAAAUGCGUAGAUAUCUGGAGGAACACCGGUGGCGAAGGCGGCAUCCUGGACCAACACUGACGCUGAGUGAGCGAAAGCCAGGGGAGCAAACGGGAUUAGAUACCCCGGUAGUCCUGGCCCUAAACGAUGAAUGCUUGGUGUGGCGGGUAUCGAUCCCUGCCGUGUCGAAGCUAACGCAUUAAGCAUUCCGCCUGGGGAGUACGGUCGCAAGGCUG